UAAGGAAUAUUGCUCAAUGGGAGAAAUCCUGAAGCAGCAACGCCGCGUGGAGGAUGAAGGGUCUAUGACUUGUAAACUCCUGUAAAGAAGGAAAAAAUUCCCAUUAGAUGGGAGAUGAUGGUACUUCUGGAGUAAGCCCCGGCUAACUACGUGCCAGCAGCCGCGGUAAUACGUAGGGGGCAAGCGUUGUCCGGAUUUACUGGGUGUAAAGGGUGCUCAGGCGGAUUUGUAAGUCAGAGGUGAAAUCUUACAGCUUAACUGUGAAACUGCCUUUGAGACUGCAAGCCUAGAGUAUGGAAGAGAGAGAUGGAAUAUCUGGUGUAGCAGUGAAAUGCGUAGAUAUCAGAUAGAACACCAAUGGCGAAGGCAGUCACUUGGUCCAUUACUGACGCUAAAGCACGAAAGCGUGGGUAGCAAACA
RNAcentral lists this ribosomal RNA (420 nucleotides) under uncultured bacterium. RNAcentral describes it as "bacterial SSU rRNA". It matches the Rfam family "Bacterial small subunit ribosomal RNA", at positions 355 to 774 of the family's 1533-position model. The record is from RNAcentral.